This 450-nucleotide ribosomal RNA is filed under the name uncultured bacterium. RNAcentral's name for it is "partial 16S ribosomal RNA". It matches the Rfam family "Bacterial small subunit ribosomal RNA", at positions 338 to 795 of the family's 1533-position model. The record is from RNAcentral.
CCUACGGGUGGCAGCAGUGAGGAAUAUUGCGCAAUGGGGGAAACCCUGACGCAGCAACGCCGCGUGGGUGAAGAAGGCCUUCGGGUUGUAAAGCCCUGUCAGGUGGGAAGAACCACCCGCAGACGAAUACUCUGCGGAUCUGACGGUACCACCAGAGGAAGCACCGGCUAACUCCGUGCCAGCAGCCGCGGUAAGACGGAGGGUGCAAGCGUUGUUCGGAAUCGCUGGGGGUAAAGCGCGUGUCGGCUGUGAAAGCCCGGGGCUCAACUCCGGAAGUGCAUUCGAAACUGUCCUGCUCGAGUACGGGAGAGGAGAGUGGAAUUCCUGGUGUAGAGGUGAAAUUCGUAGAUAUCAGGAGGAACACCUGUGGCGAAGGCGGCUCUCUGGACCGAUACUGACGCUGAGACGCGAAAGCGUGGGGAGCAAACAGGAUUAGAUACCCGUGUAGUC